CAUUGAGGAAGCUCACGCAUCAAAUUGGAAUGCGGAGACUUAAGGACUUUCAGGGAUGACCAAAACAGGGGGAGUAAUACGUGCUGUACUCUUUUUCCUUCACCAUGGUUUUGUCCCAAUGGGUUUUCCUGGUAAGGUUUUAAUGAGGCAGCAUCCCCAAGCGUAUUACUGAGAUCCUUUGGCAUCUACACGGUUAUGUCAUCCAAGGGGGAGUGUUGUAAACCACAUAACGGAUGGACUCCAUAACCGUGGCCCAUGUCCAUGUUCUAGAAGGCCCAUGUCUAGCUUCUAGAAGACUCGCCCAACCGACCAAGGCCAAAGACGGUUUAUGUUAGUCUUAGUGGGCU
Molecule: long non-coding RNA, 347 nt
Filed under: Arabidopsis lyrata
Lineage: Eukaryota; Viridiplantae; Streptophyta; Magnoliopsida; Brassicales; Brassicaceae
Description: long non-coding RNA (ALYR_LNC003431)
Source: RNAcentral